Molecule: ribosomal RNA, 631 nt
Filed under: Oscheius myriophilus
Lineage: Eukaryota; Metazoa; Nematoda; Chromadorea; Rhabditida; Rhabditidae
Description: partial large subunit ribosomal RNA
Rfam family: Eukaryotic large subunit ribosomal RNA
Source: RNAcentral
CAAGUACCGUGAGGGAAAGUUGCAAAGAACUUUGAAGAGAGAGUUCAAGAGAACGUGAAAUCCUAGCGGUUGAAGCGGAGAGAGUUGACGUAGCUCGGCGGCUAAGCUUAGUGUUGUCUUUUCGGAGGCUUCGCUUUGUGGUGUCCGCUUAUAGCUGCGCCGGUAGCGUUGUUCGAGCUUUCUGACCUGGUUAGUGUUGCCCACUUCGGUGGUGUCUUGCUGCCGGCGAGGUCUGCCGUAUUAACGUUUAAUUUGCCUUACGGCAAGUACCGGUGUGAAGGUCAGCCACCUUUCCGACCCGUCUUGAAACACGGACCGAGGAGUGUAACUUGUACGCGAGUCAGAGGGUGGAAAACCCUACGGCGCAAUGAAAGUAAAGGUCGGUUAACCGGCUGACAUGGGAUCCGUGCUUCGGCGCGGCGCACCAUGGCCCUGUCUUGAGAGCUUGCUCUUGGGCAGAGGUAGAGCGUACAGGUUGCGACCCGAAAGAUGGUGAACUAUACUUGAGCAGGACGAAGCCAGAGGAAACUCUGGUGGAAGUCCGUAUCGGUUCUGACGUGCAAAUCGAUCGAUAGACUUGAGUAUAGGGGCGAAAGACUAAUCGAACCAUCUAGUAGCUGGUUCCUUCCGA